This 586-nucleotide ribosomal RNA is filed under the name uncultured cyanobacterium. RNAcentral's name for it is "bacterial SSU rRNA". It matches the Rfam family "Bacterial small subunit ribosomal RNA", at positions 8 to 632 of the family's 1533-position model. The record is from RNAcentral. Lineage: Bacteria; Bacillati; Cyanobacteriota.
AGAGUUUGGAUCCUGGCUCAGGAUGAACGCUGGCGGUAUGCUUAACACAUGCAAGUCGAACGGGAUCUCAGAAAUGGGGUUCAGUGGCGGACGGGUGAGUAACGCGUGAGAAUCUGGCUUCAGGUUCGGGACAACCACUGGAAACGGUGGCUAAUACCGGAUAUGCCGAGAGGUGAAAGAUAUAUUGCCUGAAGAUGAGCUCGCGUCUGAUUAGCUAGUUGGUAGGGUAAUGGCCUACCAAGGCGGCGAUCGGUAACUGGUCUGAGAGGAUGACCAGUCACACUGGGACUGAGACACGGCCCAGACUCCUACGGGAGGCAGCAGUGGGGAAUUUUCCGCAAUGGGCGAAAGCCUGACGGAGCAAUACCGCGUGGGGGAUGAAGGCUCUUGGGUUGUAAACCCCUUUUCUCAGGGAAGAAAAAAAUGACGGUACCUGAGGAAUAAGCAUCGGCUAACUCCGUGCCAGCAGCCGCGGUAAUACGGAGGAUGCAAGCGUUAUCCGGAAUGAUUGGGCGUAAAGCGUCUGUAGGUGGUUUAGCAAGUCUGCCGUUAAAGGUCGGGGCUCAACUCCGAAAAGGCGGGGAAA